Molecule: ribosomal RNA, 778 nt
Filed under: uncultured archaeon
Lineage: Archaea
Description: bacterial SSU rRNA
Rfam family: Archaeal small subunit ribosomal RNA
Source: RNAcentral
GGAGAUACUGUGCAGCUAGGGAGUGGGAGAGGUAGACGGUACUCGGUAGGAAGGGGUAAAAUCCUUUGAUCUCUUGAUGACCACCUGUGGCGAAGGCGGUCUACUAGAACACGUCCGACGGUGAGGGAUGAAAGCUGGGGGAGCAAACCGGAUUAGAUACCCGGGUAGUCCCAGCUGUAAACAAUGCAAACUCAGUGAUGCAUUGGCUUGUGGCCAGUGCAGUGCCGCAGGGAAGCCGUUAAGUUUGCCGCCUGGGAAGUACGUACGCAAGUAUGAAACUUAAAGGAAUUGGCGGGGGAGCACCACAAGGGGUGAAGCCUGCGGUUCAAUUGGAGUCAACGCCAGAAAUCUUACCCGGAGAGACAGCAGAAUGAAGGUCAAGCUGAAGACUUUACCAGACAAGCUGAGAGGUGGUGCAUGGCCGUCGCCAGCUCGUGCCGUGAGAUGUCCUGUUAAGUCAGGUAACGAGCGAGAUCCCUGCCUCUAGUUGCCACCAUUACUCUCAGGAGUAGUGGGGCGAAUUAGCGGGACCGCCGCAGUUAAUGCGGAGGAAGGAAGGGGCCACGGCAGGUCAGUAUGCCCCGAAACUCUGGGGCCACACGCGGGCUGCAAUGGUAAUUACAAUGGGUUCCAAAUCCGAAAGGAGAAGGUAAUCCUCAAAUGUUACCACAGUUAUGACUGAGGGCUGCAACUCGCCCUCACGAAUAUGGAAUCCCUAGUAACCGCGUGUCAUUACCGCGCGGUGAAUACGUCCCUGCUCCUUGCACUCACCGCCCGU